ACUUAAGCAUAUCAAUAAGCGGAGGAAAAGAAACCAACAGGGAUUGCCCUAGUAACGGCGAGUGAAGCGGCAACAGCUCAAAUUUGAAAUCUGGCUCUUUUAGGGUCCGAGUUGUAAUUUGCAGAGAGCGCUUUGGCGUUGGCAGCGGUCCAAGUUCUUUGGAACAGGACGUCACAGAGGGUGAGAAUCCCGUACGUGGUCGCUAGCCUUCGCCGUGUAAAGCCUCUUCGACGAGUCGAGUUGUUUGGGAAUGCAGCUCUAAAUGGGAGGUAAAUUUCUUCUAAAGCUAAAUACUGGCCAGAGACCGAUAGCGCACAAGUAGAGUGAUCGAAAGAUGAAAAGCACUUUGGAAAGAGAGUCAAAUAGCACGUGAAAUUGUUGAAAGGGAAGCGCUUGCAGCCAGACUUGCCUGUAGUUGCUUAUCCGGACUUUUGUCCGGUGCACUCUUCUGCGGGCAGGCCAGCAUCAGUUUAGGCGGUUGGAUAAAGGUCUCUAUCACGUACCUCCCUUCGGGGUUGGCCUUAUAGGGGAGACGACAUGCAGCCAGCCUGAACUGAGGUCCGCGCAUCUGCUAGGAUGCUGGCGUAAUGGCUGUAAGCGGCCCGUCUUGAAACACGGACCAAGGAGUCUAACAUCUAUGCGAGUGUUUGGGUGUCAAGCCCAGACGCGUAAUGAAAGUGAACGGAGGUGGGAACCUUUUAGGUGCACCAUCGACCGAUCCUGAUGUCUUCGGAUGGAUUUGAGUAAGAGCAUGGCUGUUGGGACCCGAAAGAUGGUGAACUAUGCUUGAAUAGGGUGAAGCCAGAGGAAACUCUGGUGGAGGCUCGCAGCGGUUCUGACGUGCAAAUCGAUCGUCAAAUUUGGGCAUAGGGGCGAAAGACUAAUCGAAC
RNAcentral lists this ribosomal RNA (890 nucleotides) under Poaceicola arundinis. RNAcentral describes it as "eukaryotic LSU rRNA". It matches the Rfam family "Eukaryotic large subunit ribosomal RNA", at positions 32 to 940 of the family's 3401-position model. The record is from RNAcentral. Lineage: Eukaryota; Fungi; Ascomycota; Dothideomycetes; Pleosporales; Phaeosphaeriaceae.